GAGGUAAUGGCUCACCUAGGCGACGAUCCCUAGCUGGUCUGAGAGGAUGACCAGCCACACUGGAACUGAGACACGGUCCAGACUCCUACGGGAGGCAGCAGUGGGGAAUAUUGCACAAUGGGCGCAAGCCUGAUGCAGCCAUGCCGCGUGUGUGAAGAAGGCCUUCGGGUUGUAAAGCACUUUCAGCGAGGAGGAAGGGUUCGGUGUUAAUAGCACCGUUCAUUGACGUUACUCGCAGAAGAAGCACCGGCUAACUCCGUGCCAGCAGCCGCGGUAAUACGGAGGGUGCAAGCGUUAAUCGGAAUUACUGGGCGUAAAGCGCACGCAGGCGGUUUGUUAAGUCAGAUGUGAAAUCCCCGAGCUUAACUUGGGAACUGCAUUUGAAACUGGCAAGCUAGAGUCUUGUAGAGGGGGGUAGAAUUCCAGGUGUAGCGGUGAAAUGCGUAGAGAUCUGGAGGAAUACCGGUGGCGAAGGCGGCCCCCUGGACAAAG
RNAcentral lists this ribosomal RNA (492 nucleotides) under Serratia sp. 41. RNAcentral's name for it is "bacterial SSU rRNA". It matches the Rfam family "Bacterial small subunit ribosomal RNA", at positions 254 to 738 of the family's 1533-position model. The record is from RNAcentral. Lineage: Bacteria; Pseudomonadati; Pseudomonadota; Gammaproteobacteria; Enterobacterales; Yersiniaceae.